RNAcentral lists this ribosomal RNA (425 nucleotides) under uncultured bacterium. RNAcentral's name for it is "bacterial SSU rRNA". It matches the Rfam family "Bacterial small subunit ribosomal RNA", at positions 355 to 775 of the family's 1533-position model. The record is from RNAcentral.
UCGGGAAUUUUGGGCAAUGGGCGCAAGCCUGACCCAGCAACGCCGCGUGAAGGAUGAAGUAUUUCGGUAUGUAAACUUCACAAGAAUGGGAAGAAUAAGAGUUGGCUAACAUCCAACCUGAUGACGGUACCAUUUGUAAGCUCCGGCUAACUCCGUGCCAGCAGCCGCGGUAAUACGGGGGGAGCAAGCGUUGUUCGGAUUUACUGGGCGUAAAGGGCGCGUAGGCGGCACGACAAGUCGCUUGUGAAAUCUCCGGGCUUAACUCGGAGCGGCCAAGCGAUACUGUCGCGCUAGAGUGCGGAAGGGGCAACUGGAAUUCUCGGUGUAGCGGUGAAAUGCGUAGAUAUCGAGAGGAACACCUGCGGCGAAGGCGGGUUGCUGGGCCGACACUGACGCUGAUGCGCGAAAGCCAGGGGAGCGAACGG